This 1209-nucleotide ribosomal RNA is filed under the name Salmonella enterica subsp. enterica serovar Enteritidis. Its description in RNAcentral is "partial 23S ribosomal RNA". It matches the Rfam family "Bacterial large subunit ribosomal RNA", at positions 161 to 1269 of the family's 2925-position model. The record is from RNAcentral. Lineage: Bacteria; Pseudomonadati; Pseudomonadota; Gammaproteobacteria; Enterobacterales; Enterobacteriaceae.
AAUCCAUAGGUUAAUGAGGCGAACCGGGGGAACUGAAACAUCUAAGUACCCCGAGGAAAAGAAAUCAACCGAGAUUCCCCCAGUAGCGGCGAGCGAACGGGGAGGAGCCCAGAGCCUGAAUCAGCAUGUGUGUUAGUGGAAGCGUCUGGAAAGGCGCGCGAUACAGGGUGACAGCCCCGUACACAAAAGCGCAUGUGCUGUGAGCUCGAUGAGUAGGGCGGGACACGUGGUAUCCUGUCUGAAUAUGGGGGGACCAUCCUCCAAGGCUAAAUACUCCUGACUGACCGAUAGUGAACCAGUACCGUGAGGGAAAGGCGAAAAGAACCCCGGCGAGGGGAGUGAAAAAGAACCUGAAACCGUGUACGUACAAGCAGUGGGAGCCCCACCACCAAAGCAUUUGCUGUACCGCGUUGACGGAGCGAAGCGACGUCAAACCGAUAAAACAGCAGUGUAAAGUGAGCCGCAGGGCGCUUUGCGCGACAGCGCAAAGGCAGGCGGUUUCGCGUAGCGAAAGCGAAUGCUUUGGGGUGGGGUGACUGCGUACCUUUUGUAUAAUGGGUCAGCGACUUAUAUUCUGUAGCAAGGUUAACCGAAUAGGGGAGCCGGAGGGAAACCGAGUCUUAAUUGGGCGUUAAGUUGCAGGGUAUAGACCCGAAACCCGGUGAUCUAGCCAUGGGCAGGUUGAAGGUUGGGUAACACUAACUGGAGGACCGAACCGACUAAUGUUGAAAAAUUAGCGGAUGACCUGUGGCUGGGGGUGAAAGGCCAAUCAAACCGGGAGAUAGCUGGUUCUCCCCGAAAGCUAUUUAGGUAGCGCCUCGUGAAUUCAUCUCCGGGGGUAGAGCACUGUUUCGGCUAGGGGGCCAUCCCGGCUUACCAACCCGAUGCAAACUGCGAAUACCGGAGAAUGUUAUCACGGGAGACACACGGCGGGUGCUAACGUCCGUCGUGAAGAGGGAAACAACCCAGACCGCCAGCUAAGGUCCCAAAGUCAUGGUUAAGUGGGAAACGAUGUGGGAAGGCCCAGACAGCCAGGAUGUUGGCUUAGAAGCAGCCAUCAUUUAAAGAAAGCGUAAUAGCUCACUGGUCGAGUCGGCCUGCGCGGAAGAUGUAACGGGGCUAAACCAUGCACCGAAGCUGCGGCAGCGACGCUUAUGCGUUGUUGGGUAGGGGAGCGUUCUGUAAGCCUGCGAAGGUGGCCUGUGAGGG